This 462-nucleotide ribosomal RNA is filed under the name uncultured bacterium. RNAcentral describes it as "bacterial SSU rRNA". It matches the Rfam family "Bacterial small subunit ribosomal RNA", at positions 335 to 791 of the family's 1533-position model. The record is from RNAcentral.
ACUCCUACGGGAGGCAGCAGUGGGGAAUAUUGCACAAUGGGGGAAACCCUGAUGCAGCCAUGCCGCGUGUGUGAAGAAGGCCUUGGGUUGUAAAGCACUUUCAGUAGGGAGGAAGGUAGUGUAGUUAACACCUGCACUAUUUGACGUUACCUACAGAAGAAGCACCGGCUAACUCCGUGCCAGCAGCCGCGGUAAUACGGAGGGUGCGAGCGUUAAUCGGAAUUACGUGGGCGUAAAGCGCAUGCAGGCGGCCUGUUAAGUCAGAUGUGAAAGCCCGGGGCUUAACCUCGGAAUUGCAUUUGAAACUGGCAGGCUAGAGUCUUGUAGAGGGGUUAGAAUUUCAGGUGUAGCGGUGAAAUGCGUAGAGAUCUGAAGGAAUACCAGUGGCGAAGGCGGCCCCUGGACAAAGACUGACGCUCAGAUGCGAAAGCGUGGGAGCAAACAGGAUUAGAUACCCCUGGU